RNAcentral lists this transfer RNA (65 nucleotides) under Perkinsus marinus ATCC 50983. It matches the Rfam family "tRNA". Rfam says of the family: Transfer RNA (tRNA) molecules are approximately 80 nucleotides in length. Lineage: Eukaryota; Perkinsozoa; Perkinsida; Perkinsidae. The record is from Rfam by way of RNAcentral.
GGUUCUAUAGUGUAGUGGUUAGCACUCUGGACUUUGAAUCAGCGACUCGAGUCGAUCUCGAUAGA